RNAcentral lists this ribosomal RNA (475 nucleotides) under bacterium enrichment culture clone Cont270_3130. Its description in RNAcentral is "bacterial SSU rRNA". It matches the Rfam family "Bacterial small subunit ribosomal RNA", at positions 8 to 525 of the family's 1533-position model. The record is from RNAcentral.
AGAGUUUGAUCAUGGCUCAGAGCGAACGCUGGCGGCAGGCUUAACACAUGCAAGUCGAACGGGCGUAGCAAUACGUCAGUGGCAGACGGGUGAGUAACGCGUGGGAACGUACCUUUUGGUUCGGAACAACUGAGGGAAACUUCAGCUAAUACCGGAUAAGCCCUUACGGGGAAAGAUUUAUCGCCGAAAGAUCGGCCCGCGUCUGAUUAGCUAGUUGGUGAGGUAAYGGCUCACCAAGGCGRCGAUCAGUAGCUGGUCUGAGAGGAUGAUCAGCCACAUUGGGACUGAGACACGGCCCAAACUCCUACGGGAGGCAGCAGUGGGGAAUAUUGGACAAUGGGCGAAAGCCUGAUCCAGCCAUGCCGCGUGAGUGAUGAAGGCCCUAGGGUUGUAAAGCUCUUUUUGUGCGGGGGAAGAUAAUGACGGUACCGCAAGAAUAAGCCCGGCUAACUUCGUGCCAGCAGCCGCGGUAAUA